RNAcentral lists this long non-coding RNA (545 nucleotides) under Hordeum vulgare. RNAcentral's name for it is "long non-coding RNA (HVUL_LNC010014)". Lineage: Eukaryota; Viridiplantae; Streptophyta; Magnoliopsida; Poales; Poaceae. The record is from RNAcentral.
UCCUCGCGCCCGCAACCUGCACACCUCGCCGGAGCACCAAACCAGCAACAGUUCCCGUGCUUGCAGCCCAAUCCAUUCCGCGGUGCCCGAGCACCACCUCUUGGAGCUCGACCUCUCGCGCUCACCUCGCCGUCCUCGCACGCCUGCAUGCUGGCAUCCUCCUGUCCUGCUCAAGCAGACCUCUCGCCGUGGUGAGGUGAGCCAGACCGUCUGCCCUUUGGUCGACCCCUCCUUCCAUCUGCUUCUCUCUCAAUAUCUCUCUCUGUCUCACUGUUCCCGCGGCACGAAGGAGAUGGCCAUGGCUACCCCAUGAAGCUUCUCUGGCGGUCGCCUUCGGCCCGCCUCCGGCCAGGUCCGACGACCAUGAGCACCAUUCCCCCUCCAAUCUCGCAGCUAGGCCGGUUUCCCGUGACUUCUCCUUUUCCCAUUUUUUAUCUCUCUGAUGGCCUCCCUCUCUCUUCUGUUCGCCUACAGGAGUCGCCAUGGACUGAUGGACAUCACUGGAAGCAACUGCCGCCGUCGCUGGUCGCCUCCACCCUGUACCG